GCGGACGGGUGAGUAACACGUGGGUAACCUGCCUGUAAGAUUGGGAUAACUCCGGGAAACCGGAGCUAAUACCGGAUAACAUUUCGAACCGCAUGGUUCGAAUUUGAAAGACGGCUUUUGCUGUCACUUACAGAUGGACCCGCGGCGCAUUAGCUAGUUGGUGAGGUAACGGCUCACCAAGGCAACGAUGCGUAGCCGACCUGAGAGGGUGAUCGGCCACACUGGGACUGAGACACGGCCCAGACUCCUACGGGAGGCAGCAGUAGGGAAUCUUCCGCAAUGGACGAAAGUCUGACGGAGCAACGCCGCGUGAACGAUGAAGGCCUUCGGGUCGUAAAGUUCUGUUGUUAGGGAAGAACAAGUACCAGAGUAACUGCUGGUACCUUGACGGUACCUAACCAGAAAGCCACGGCUAACUACGUGCCAGCAGCCGCGGUAAUACGUAGGUGGCAAGCGUUGUCCGGAAUUAUUGGGCGUAAAGCGCGCGCAGGUGGUUCCUUAAGUCUGAUGUGAAAGCCCACGGCUCAACCGUGGAGGGUCAUUGGAAACUGGGGAACUUGAGUGCAGAAGAGGAAAGUGGAAUUCCAAGUGUAGCGGUGAAAUGCGUAG
RNAcentral lists this ribosomal RNA (609 nucleotides) under Bacillus licheniformis. RNAcentral's name for it is "bacterial SSU rRNA". It matches the Rfam family "Bacterial small subunit ribosomal RNA", at positions 98 to 693 of the family's 1533-position model. Lineage: Bacteria; Bacillati; Bacillota; Bacilli; Caryophanales; Bacillaceae. The record is from RNAcentral.